AUGACCCUAUCAGAUGAGACUACCCGCUGAACUUAAGCAUAUC
This 43-nucleotide ribosomal RNA is filed under the name uncultured Craterellus. RNAcentral describes it as "partial 28S ribosomal RNA". Lineage: Eukaryota; Fungi; Basidiomycota; Agaricomycetes; Cantharellales; Hydnaceae. The record is from RNAcentral.